ACACGUAGGGGGCGUGCGUUGUUCGGAAUCAUUGGGCGUAAAGGGCGCGCAGGCGGCCGCGUAAGUCUGGUGUAAAAUGGUUGUGCUCAACACAAUCAUGCGCUGGAAACUGCGGGGCUUGAGUCAACGAGGGGAUGCCGGAAUUCCAGGUGUAGGGGUGAAAUCUGUAGAUAUCUGGAAGAACACCAGUGGCGAAGGCAGGCAUCUGGCGACUGACUGACGCUGAGGCGCGAAGGUGCGGGGAGCAAACAGGUUUAGAUACCCUGGUAGUCCGCGCAGUAAACGAUGUGCACCAGGUGGCGGGCAGCAGUGCUCGGUACCGAAGCAAACGCAUUAAGUGCACCGCCUGGGGAGUAUGCCCGCAAGGGUGAAACUCAAAUGAAUUGACGGGG
Molecule: ribosomal RNA, 392 nt
Filed under: uncultured bacterium
Lineage: Bacteria
Description: partial 16S ribosomal RNA
Rfam family: Bacterial small subunit ribosomal RNA
Source: RNAcentral